This is a non-coding RNA of Mesorhizobium ciceri biovar biserrulae WSM1271, 72 nucleotides long. Lineage: Bacteria; Pseudomonadati; Pseudomonadota; Alphaproteobacteria; Hyphomicrobiales; Phyllobacteriaceae. The record is from Rfam.
GCGCCCAUCGUCUAGCGGUUAGGACACCGCCCUUUCACGGCGGUAACAGGGGUUCGAUUCCCCUUGGGCGUA